RNAcentral lists this transfer RNA (69 nucleotides) under Marmota marmota marmota (Alpine marmot). It matches the Rfam family "tRNA". Rfam says of the family: Transfer RNA (tRNA) molecules are approximately 80 nucleotides in length. Lineage: Eukaryota; Metazoa; Chordata; Mammalia; Rodentia; Sciuridae. RNAcentral also lists the same sequence under 1 other name. The record is from Rfam by way of RNAcentral.
GGGGUUGUGGCUCAGUGGUAGAGCACUUGCCUAGCAUGUAUGAGGCACUGGGUUUGAUCCCCGACACCA